This 433-nucleotide ribosomal RNA is filed under the name uncultured bacterium. Its description in RNAcentral is "partial 16S ribosomal RNA". It matches the Rfam family "Bacterial small subunit ribosomal RNA", at positions 29 to 507 of the family's 1533-position model. The record is from RNAcentral.
AACGAACGCUGGCGGCAUGCCUAACACAUGCAAGUCGAACGAGACCUUCGGGUCUAGUGGCGCACGGGUGCGUAACGCGUGGGAACCUGCCCGUAGGUUCGGAAUAACUCCCCGAAAGGGGUGCUAAUACCGGAUAAUGUCUUCGGACCAAAGAUUUAUCGCCUUUGGAUGGGCCCGCGUUGGAUUAGCCAGUUGGUAGGGUAAAAGCCUACCAAGGCGAGGAUCCAUAGCUGGUCUGAGAGGAUGAUCAGCCACACUGGGAAUGCGACACGGCCCAGACUCCUACGGGAGGCAGCAGUGGGGAAUAUUGGGCACUGGGCGAAAGCCUGAUACAGCAAUGCCGCGUGAGUGAUGAAGGCCUUAGGGUUGUAAAGCUCUUUUACCCGGGAUGAUAAUGACAGUACCGGGAGAAUAAGCACCGGCUAACUCCGUG